AUUGUGCCUGACACAUGAUGGCUCAUACACAGAUAGAAUCUGCUAUUAUCAUCAUAUCUUUAUUUUUUCUUCCUAUUCUUUAAUUUUAUUUUGUUGAAACUCUAUUUCAUUUAUAUUUGAUUUUUCUUCUUUAAAAAAUAAAAGCACGUAAAGCCAGAAAUUUUCCUCUAUUAAAGAUAGGACCAUGUAUAGUCUUCUUGUUUCCUUCUAUUUCUAGAUAGUCUGUUAUUAUAGUUUGAUUUCCUCUUGCAUCUAACAACUACUUAAGAUUUUUUUAAAUUUCCAUAUGGUAAAUUCUUUUUAGUUAUCCUUUUGUAUUAACUUCCAGGUGGCAGUCUGAGAAAGAAACCUUAUAAAUUUUUUAUUCUUUAUAUAAACUCCAUUUUAAUUGUGUUGCUUUAAAAGUUUUAUUGUAGGAGAGCCUGGGGUGCCUGGCUGGCUCAGUCUGAAGAACAUAUGACUCCUGAUCUGGGGGUAAUGAGUUUGAUCCCCACAUUGGUGUAGACACUACUAAAAAAUAAAUAAAUAAAUAAACUUUAAAAAAACA
Long non-coding RNA from Leopardus geoffroyi (Geoffroy's cat), 547 nucleotides. RefSeq lists it as uncharacterized. The record is from RefSeq and is a predicted model, not a curated record. Lineage: Eukaryota; Metazoa; Chordata; Mammalia; Carnivora; Felidae. The transcript is spliced from 2 exons.